This 26-nucleotide small RNA is filed under the name Bombyx mori (domestic silkworm). Its description in RNAcentral is "ovarian small RNA-18738". Lineage: Eukaryota; Metazoa; Arthropoda; Insecta; Lepidoptera; Bombycidae. The record is from RNAcentral.
UAACCGACAAUUUGUGCCGUACGAAG